Molecule: ribosomal RNA, 305 nt
Filed under: uncultured bacterium
Lineage: Bacteria
Description: partial 16S ribosomal RNA
Rfam family: Bacterial small subunit ribosomal RNA
Source: RNAcentral
ACAGCAGCAGCCGCGGUAAUACGGAGGGUGCAAGCGUUAAUCGGAAUUACUGGGCGUAAAGCGCACGCAGGCGGUCUGACAAGUCAGAUGUGAAAUCCCCGGGCUUAACCUGGGAACUGCAUUUGAAACUGUCAGGCUGGAGUCUUGUAGAGGGGGGUGGAAUUCCAGGUGUAGCGGUGAAAUGCGUAGAGAUCUGGAGGAAUACCGGUGGCGAAGGCGGCCCCCUGGACAAAGACUGACGCUCAGGUGCGAAAGCGUGGGGAGCAAACAGGAUUAGAGACCCCUGUAGUCCCUGUCUCUUAUAC